Molecule: ribosomal RNA, 253 nt
Filed under: uncultured bacterium
Lineage: Bacteria
Description: partial 16S ribosomal RNA
Rfam family: Bacterial small subunit ribosomal RNA
Source: RNAcentral
UACGAAGGGGGCUAGCGUUGUUCGGAAUUACUGGGCGUAAAGCGCGUGUAGGCGGGUCUUUAAGUCAGGGGUGAAAUGCCAAGGCUCAACCUUGGAACUGCCUUUGAUACUGGAGACCUUGAGUCCGGGAGAGGUGAGUGGAAUUGCGAGUGUAGAGGUGAAAUUCGUAGAUAUUCGCAAGAACACCAGUGGCGAAGGCGGCUCACUGGCCCGGAACUGACGCUGAGAGACGAAAGCUAGGGGAGCGAACAGG